AAAUUGAAGAGUUUGAUCAUGGCUCAGAUUGAACGCUGGCGGCAGGCCUAACACAUGCAAGUCGAACGGUAACAGGAAGCAGCUUGCUGCUUCGCUGACGAGUGGCGGACGGGUGAGUAAUGUCUGGGAAACUGCCUGAUGGAGGGGGAUAACUACUGGAAACGGUAGCUAAUACCGCAUAAUGUCGCAAGACCAAAGAGGGGGACCUUCGGGCCUCUUGCCAUCGGAUGUGCCCAGAUGGGAUUAGCUUGUUGGUGGGGUAACGGCUCACCAAGGCGACGAUCCCUAGCUGGUCUGAGAGGAUGACCAGCCACACUGGAACUGAGACACGGUCCAGACUCCUACGGGAGGCAGCAGUGGGGAAUAUUGCACAAUGGGCGCAAGCCUGAUGCAGCCAUGCCGCGUGUAUGAAGAAGGCCUUCGGGUUGUAAAGUACUUUCAGCGGGGAGGAAGGGAGUAAAGUUAAUACCUUUGCUCAUUGACGUUACCCGCAGAAGAAGCACCGGCUAACUCCGUGCCAGCAGCCGCGGUAAUACGGAGGGUGCAAGCGUUAAUCGGAAUUACUGGGCGUAAAGCGCACGCAGGCGGUUUGUUAAGUCAGAUGUGAAAUCCCCGGGCUCAACCUGGGAACUGCAUCUGAUACUGGCAAGCUUGAGUCUCGUAGAGGGGGGUAGAAUUCCAGGUGUAGCGGUGAAAUGCGUAGAGAUCUGGAGGAAUACCGGUGGCGAAGGCGGCCCCCUGGACGAAGACUGACGCUCAGGUGCGAAAGCGUGGGGAGCAAACAGGAUUAGAUACCCUGGUAGUCCACGCCGUAAACGAUGUCGACUUGGAGGUUGUGCCCUUGAGGCGUGGCUUCCGGAGCUAACGCGUUAAGUCGACCGCCUGGGGAGUACGGCCGCAAGGUUAAAACUCAAAUGAAUUGACGGGGGCCCGCACAAGCGGUGGAGCAUGUGGUUUAAUUCGAUGCAACGCGAAGAACCUUACCUGGUCUUGACAUCCACGGAAGUUUUCAGAGAUGAGAAUGUGCCUUCGGGAACCGUGAGACAGGUGCUGCAUGGCUGUCGUCAGCUCGUGUUGUGAAAUGUUGGGUUAAGUCCCGCAACGAGCGCAACCC
RNAcentral lists this ribosomal RNA (1114 nucleotides) under Escherichia coli. RNAcentral's name for it is "bacterial SSU rRNA". It matches the Rfam family "Bacterial small subunit ribosomal RNA", at positions 1 to 1104 of the family's 1533-position model. The record is from RNAcentral. Lineage: Bacteria; Pseudomonadati; Pseudomonadota; Gammaproteobacteria; Enterobacterales; Enterobacteriaceae.